RNAcentral lists this ribosomal RNA (340 nucleotides) under Chalcides mionecton. RNAcentral describes it as "partial 12S ribosomal RNA". Lineage: Eukaryota; Metazoa; Chordata; Lepidosauria; Squamata; Scincidae. The record is from RNAcentral.
CACAUGCAAGUCUCAGCACACCAGUGAAAAUGCCCACAGCACCCCAAACAGACCACCGGAGCGGGUAUCAGGCCCAAUCGAUAUUAGCCCGAGACACCUUGCUUUGCCACACCCCCACGGGCACUCAGCAGUGAUUAACCUUAACCAUAAGCGAAAGCUUGACUUAGCUAUGAUUAAUAAGGUCGGUAAAUUUCGUGCCAGCCACCGCGGUUACACGAAAGACUUAAUAUAAUGGCAGUCGGCGUAAAGCGUGACUAUAGUAAUUAUCACAAAACUUUAAAGAUAAGCCACUACAAAGCCGUAAAACGCUACUAUAAGUGACAAGUACUUCAACGUCUUU